This is a long non-coding RNA of Paralichthys olivaceus (Japanese flounder), 757 nucleotides long. RefSeq lists it as uncharacterized. The record is from RefSeq and is a predicted model, not a curated record. Lineage: Eukaryota; Metazoa; Chordata; Actinopteri; Pleuronectiformes; Paralichthyidae.
CUCCCACUACAUGUUUGCCAGUGGAACCAGGACCCUGCAUGAAGCAUGGCGACCCUCUCACCCAUGUUCAGUUCAGCGUGGGCCUCAAGGAUGUGCCUGUCCAGCCGUGUGAGAUCAUACCCACACCCAAUCAGCGGCCAGUGACAAGUGCGAAGGUUCACCCUCCCUGCCGCCCAGUUUCAUUAUCCACCGUUCCCUGACAUUUGUCACUGAAUGGGAGAAACCUUGGAUCCAAAGCUCCCAAUGACAACUCAUCAGACCGACUGGAACCCAUUUUCCAUAUAUCUGGAAUACAACUCUGUUAUUUAAUCUCUCUGGAUCAAAUGGGAGAAACAAAUCCACUGAGGUUUUUCAAUCAAUGAUAAAAAAUCUACAGAUGCCUAUUAUUAACCUUUGUUAUAAUCCACACAUGAGUAAAAAGAACUCAUCAUAAAUGUAAACUCAGUGGUUAUAAAUAUGUGUAACAAUCUUUUAAUAUUGAUGUAGUCUGAUGUCUAUUUAACCUCACUUUUUUAAAUGCAGUUGUUUCUAAUCUAUACACCACUAUACUUUCCAUUAGUACUGCUUUUGUUAUACUGCAUGUUUGUUCUCAUUUCAUUGUUAUCAUCUGGUGUACACAGGUUGCUAAAUGUCAGGUUGAGAUUCUGAUAUUUGGUAAAUCAGCAGAGGGCGCUGUUCAGACAGUUAGUUCAGGCUGUGCAAGAAAAAGAAAGGGAGGGUAAGAUGGAGGAGAGAAAAAGACAAGAGUUUUUUGAUU